UACGUAGGGGGGCGAGCGUUAUCCGGAAUUACUGGGCGUAAAGCGCACGCAGGCGGUUCGCCAAGUUUGGAGUGACAGUUGUCGGCUCAACCGACAAAGGACUUCAAAAACUGGUGAACUUGAGGACGAGAGAGGAACAUGGAACUCCAGGUGUAGUAGUGAAAUGCGUAGAUAUCUGGAAGAACACCAAUGGCGAAGGCAAUGUUCUGGCUCGUUUCUGACGCUCAGGUGCGAAAGCCAGGGGAGCGAACGGG
RNAcentral lists this ribosomal RNA (254 nucleotides) under uncultured bacterium. RNAcentral's name for it is "partial 16S ribosomal RNA". It matches the Rfam family "Bacterial small subunit ribosomal RNA", at positions 524 to 776 of the family's 1533-position model. The record is from RNAcentral.